Molecule: ribosomal RNA, 2925 nt
Filed under: Escherichia coli
Lineage: Bacteria; Pseudomonadati; Pseudomonadota; Gammaproteobacteria; Enterobacterales; Enterobacteriaceae
Description: bacterial LSU rRNA
Rfam family: Bacterial large subunit ribosomal RNA
Source: RNAcentral
GGGUUGUGAGGUUAAGCGACUAAGCGUACACGGUGGAUGCCCUGGCAGUCAGAGGCGAUGAAGGACGUGCUAAUCUGCGAUAAGCGUCGGUAAGGUGAUAUGAACCGUUAUAACCGGCGAUUUCCGAAUGGGGAAACCCAGUGUGAUUCGUCACACUAUCAUUAACUGAAUCCAUAGGUUAAUGAGGCGAACCGGGGGAACUGAAACAUCUAAGUACCCCGAGGAAAAGAAAUCAACCGAGAUUCCCCCAGUAGCGGCGAGCGAACGGGGAGCAGCCCAGAGCCUGAAUCAGUGUGUGUGUUAGUGGAAGCGUCUGGAAAGGCGCGCGAUACAGGGUGACAGCCCCGUACACAAAAAUGCACAUGCUGUGAGCUCGAUGAGUAGGGCGGGACACGUGGUAUCCUGUCUGAAUAUGGGGGGACCAUCCUCCAAGGCUAAAUACUCCUGACUGACCGAUAGUGAACCAGUACCGUGAGGGAAAGGCGAAAAGAACCCCGGCGAGGGGAGUGAAAAAGAACCUGAAACCGUGUACGUACAAGCAGUGGGAGCACGCUUAGGCGUGUGACUGCGUACCUUUUGUAUAAUGGGUCAGCGACUUAUAUUCUGUAGCAAGGUUAACCGAAUAGGGGAGCCGAAGGGAAACCGAGUCUUAACUGGGCGUUAAGUUGCAGGGUAUAGACCCGAAACCCGGUGAUCUAGCCAUGGGCAGGUUGAAGGUUGGGUAACACUAACUGGAGGACCGAACCGACUAAUGUUGAAAAAUUAGCGGAUGACUUGUGGCUGGGGGUGAAAGGCCAAUCAAACCGGGAGAUAGCUGGUUCUCCCCGAAAGCUAUUUAGGUAGCGCCUCGUGAAUUCAUCUCCGGGGGUAGAGCACUGUUUCGGCAAGGGGGUCAUCCCGACUUACCAACCCGAUGCAAACUGCGAAUACCGGAGAAUGUUAUCACGGGAGACACACGGCGGGUGCUAACGUCCGUCGUGAAGAGGGAAACAACCCAGACCGCCAGCUAAGGUCCCAAAGUCAUGGUUAAGUGGGAAACGAUGUGGGAAGGCCCAGACAGCCAGGAUGUUGGCUUAGAAGCAGCCAUCAUUUAAAGAAAGCGUAAUAGCUCACUGGUCGAGUCGGCCUGCGCGGAAGAUGUAACGGGGCUAAACCAUGCACCGAAGCUGCGGCAGCGACGCUUAUGCGUUGUUGGGUAGGGGAGCGUUCUGUAAGCCUGCGAAGGUGUGCUGUGAGGCAUGCUGGAGGUAUCAGAAGUGCGAAUGCUGACAUAAGUAACGAUAAAGCGGGUGAAAAGCCCGCUCGCCGGAAGACCAAGGGUUCCUGUCCAACGUUAAUCGGGGCAGGGUGAGUCGACCCCUAAGGCGAGGCCGAAAGGCGUAGUCGAUGGGAAACAGGUUAAUAUUCCUGUACUUGGUGUUACUGCGAAGGGGGGACGGAGAAGGCUAUGUUGGCCGGGCGACGGUUGUCCCGGUUUAAGCGUGUAGGCUGGUUUUCCAGGCAAAUCCGGAAAAUCAAGGCUGAGGCGUGAUGACGAGGCACUACGGUGCUGAAGCAACAAAUGCCCUGCUUCCAGGAAAAGCCUCUAAGCAUCAGGUAACAUCAAAUCGUACCCCAAACCGACACAGGUGGUCAGGUAGAGAAUACCAAGGCGCUUGAGAGAACUCGGGUGAAGGAACUAGGCAAAAUGGUGCCGUAACUUCGGGAGAAGGCACGCUGAUAUGUAGGUGAAGUCCCUCGCGGAUGGAGCUGAAAUCAGUCGAAGAUACCAGCUGGCUGCAACUGUUUAUUAAAAACACAGCACUGUGCAAACACGAAAGUGGACGUAUACGGUGUGACGCCUGCCCGGUGCCGGAAGGUUAAUUGAUGGGGUUAGCGCAAGCGAAGCUCUUGAUCGAAGCCCCGGUAAACGGCGGCCGUAACUAUAACGGUCCUAAGGUAGCGAAAUUCCUUGUCGGGUAAGUUCCGACCUGCACGAAUGGCGUAAUGAUGGCCAGGCUGUCUCCACCCGAGACUCAGUGAAAUUGAACUCGCUGUGAAGAUGCAGUGUACCCGCGGCAAGACGGAAAGACCCCGUGAACCUUUACUAUAGCUUGACACUGAACAUUGAGCCUUGAUGUGUAGGAUAGGUGGGAGGCUUUGAAGUGUGGACGCCAGUCUGCAUGGAGCCGACCUUGAAAUACCACCCUUUAAUGUUUGAUGUUCUAACGUUGACCCGUAAUCCGGGUUGCGGACAGUGUCUGGUGGGUAGUUUGACUGGGGCGGUCUCCUCCUAAAGAGUAACGGAGGAGCACGAAGGUUGGCUAAUCCUGGUCGGACAUCAGGAGGUUAGUGCAAUGGCAUAAGCCAGCUUGACUGCGAGCGUGACGGCGCGAGCAGGUGCGAAAGCAGGUCAUAGUGAUCCGGUGGUUCUGAAUGGAAGGGCCAUCGCUCAACGGAUAAAAGGUACUCCGGGGAUAACAGGCUGAUACCGCCCAAGAGUUCAUAUCGACGGCGGUGUUUGGCACCUCGAUGUCGGCUCAUCACAUCCUGGGGCUGAAGUAGGUCCCAAGGGUAUGGCUGUUCGCCAUUUAAAGUGGUACGCGAGCUGGGUUUAGAACGUCGUGAGACAGUUCGGUCCCUAUCUGCCGUGGGCGCUGGAGAACUGAGGGGGGCUGCUCCUAGUACGAGAGGACCGGAGUGGACGCAUCACUGGUGUUCGGGUUGUCAUGCCAAUGGCACUGCCCGGUAGCUAAAUGCGGAAGAGAUAAGUGCUGAAAGCAUCUAAGCACGAAACUUGCCCCGAGAUGAGUUCUCCCUGACUCCUUGAGAGUCCUGAAGGAACGUUGAAGACGACGACGUUGAUAGGCCGGGUGUGUAAGCGCAGCGAUGCGUUGAGCUAACCGGUACUAAUGAACCGUGAGGCUUAACCUUACAACGCCGAAG